AGUUAUUUUAGAUAAUUCAUAGAAGUCACGCAGACAACAAUCUCCAUCUUUAAACCAGUUCUACAAAGAGGGAAAAUUGGGUGCUUUGCAAAUUGUGGCAUUAUAAAAAGUACACAUUGGGAAGGAGGUAACUGGCUUUGGACACUCCUAAGAGAACGCUUUUCAUCUAAAGCUGGGUUAUUAUUACUCUCACAAAUUGAGGGCCAUCCCCAGAGCCGUGGAGCCAUGGAAAGUUCCCUCAG
Vicugna pacos (alpaca) is the source of this 242-nucleotide non-coding RNA. The record is from RefSeq and is a predicted model, not a curated record. NCBI's taxonomy places the organism in Eukaryota, Metazoa, Chordata, Mammalia, Artiodactyla, Camelidae.